Panicum virgatum (switchgrass) is the source of this 2155-nucleotide RNA transcript. It is a transcript of the gene named bifunctional 3-dehydroquinate dehydratase/shikimate dehydrogenase, chloroplastic-like, with no coding region annotated. The record is from RefSeq and is a predicted model, not a curated record. Lineage: Eukaryota; Viridiplantae; Streptophyta; Magnoliopsida; Poales; Poaceae. The transcript has 11 exons.
UGAGUGCUGACUUGCGUCCGCCAGGACCGCCACCAACCCAGGCCAGCCUCCCCAUCUCCAGCCUUCACACUCCCCCACCCACCCCCGCCAGCAGACCACCAACCCCAGUCCCCGGCGGCGGCCAUUGCCGAUUGCCCGCAUCCGCAUCCACGCACACUGCGGGAGGGAGCCAGCCGGUAGCCUGCCCUGCCCAGGAUCGGAGAUGACGCUGUUGUGCGUGCCGCUGGUGGCGCGGACGGUGGAGGAGAUGGUGGCCGACGCGGCGGCCGCCGCGGCCGCGGGCGCCGACCUCGUCGAGAUCCGACUCGACUUCAUCCAGGAGUUCCGCCCCCGCGAGCACCUUCCGCAACUGCUACGCGGCUGCACACUCCCGGCCCUCGUCACCUACCGACCUACCUGGGAAGGAGGCCAAUAUGAAGGUGAUGACACCACAAGAUUCGACACACUACGUUUAGCAAUGGAACUAGGUGUAGACUAUGUUGAUGUUGAACUGAAGGUCGCCGACAAAUUCAUGAGCUUUAUUUCUGGCAAUAAGCCAGACAAAUGUAAACUUAUUGUUUCUUCGCAUAAUUAUGAACAUACUCCGUCCUGUGAGGAGCUUGCAAAUCUUGUGGCUAGAAUACAAGCAGUUGGAGCUGACAUAGUGAAAGUUGCAACAACUGCUAAGGAUAUUGUCGAUGUAUCACGGAUGUUCCAAGUGAUGGUUCACUGCCAAGUGCCUAUGAUUGGACUCGUAAUGAGUGAAAGAGGUUUAAUGUCACGGGUGUUAGCGUCAAAGUUUGGUGGAUAUCUUACAUUUGGGAUACUAAAUUCUGCAAAAACAUCAGCACCUGGACAACCAACAGUUGAAGAAUUACUGGAUGUUUACAAUAUAAGGUGCAUAGGACCUGAUACAAAGGUUCUUGGUCUUAUAGCCAACCCAGUAAAGCAGAGCAAGAGCCCAAUUCUGCACAAUAAAUGCCUUCAAUACGUUGGAUAUAAUGCUGUUUAUCUUCCACUUCUUGGAGAUAAUCUUGCUAGUUUUCUCGAGACAUAUUCAUCUCCAGACUUUUCAGGAUUUAGUUGCUCUCUUCCUUUCAAAGUGGAUGCUGUACAGUGCUGCAAUGAACAUGAUCCAGUUGCUCAGUCAAUAGGAGCAAUUAACACUAUAAUUAGAAGACCUGAUGGCAAAUUAGUGGGGUACAAUACAGACUACAUUGGAGCAAUAUCUGCUAUUGAGGAUGGUAUUGGAGGUCCAGGGUCCAAGGAUGCUGCCAUCUCACCGUUGGCUGGUAGGCUUAUUGUUGUUGUAGGUGCUGGAGGUGCUGGUAAGGCAAUUGCUUAUGGGGCCAAGGAGAAGGGUGCAAGGGUAGUUGUAGCAAAUCGUACCUAUGAAAAGGCAGUAAGUCUUGCCAAUGCAAUUGGAGGUCAGGCCCUGAGAUUAGCAGACCUGGAAACUUUCAGGCCUGAAGAAGGGAUGAUCCUUGCCAAUGCAACAUCAUUGGGGAUGCAACCAAAUAUUGAUGGGACUCCUAUUCCAAAGAAAGCACUGAGUUUCUACGAUGUGGUAUUCGAUGCUGUAUAUGCCCCAAAGGUUACUCGGCUUCUACGAGAAGCAGAAGAAUGUGGUGUUAAAGUUGUUAGUGGUGUGGAAAUGUUUAUUAGACAAGCCAUGGGUCAAUUUGAACAUUUCACCGGUGGUAUAGAAGCUCCUGAAAGUCUAAUGCGGGAAAUAGCAGCGAAAUACACCUAGAAGGUUCUUUUAAGUAUUACCAUUUCAUUUCAAUCUUGCAAUCAUUGAGGGUUAAAUACUUAACAUGUUAAUGGUGAAAAAAAAAAAACGGCUUAUGAUAAAUAUUCGCCCCAACUUUUCCAGGGCUGAGUGAUAAAAUGUUUUGAGAUAACUGCCCAGUUUUGCACUCAUGGAAGACUUCGCUGUUGUAUUGUUAAAUUUCGCAGACUUGUCUGCACAUGGAAGAUUACAUUGACAUGAUAUAUAGUGUUCAUUCUUGUUUGCAAUAGAGGAAUUGCAAAAAUAAAGCGUCAGUUUGGAACCUACAUUACGAUGACCCAGGAAUAAAAUAUGCAUCAAGCAAUGAUUCAGUUGGCUUCAUGCUGAUCAUGUAAGAGCUACUAAUAUUGACUUGCUUGCUCAGUUUGGCAUCGCUAGUGGUUA